GACGAACGCUGGCGGCGUGCUUAACACAUGCAAGUCGAACGGAAAGGCCCUGCUUGCAGGGUACUCGAGUGGCGAACGGGUGAGUACACGUGGGUGAUCUGCCCUGCACUUCGGGAUAAGCCUGGGAAACUGGGUCUAAUACCGGAUAGGAGCCAUUUUUAGUGUGAUGGUUGGAAAGUUUUUUCGGUGUAGGAUGAGCUCGCGGCCUAUCAGCUUGUUGGUGGGGUAAUGGCCUACCAAGGCGGCGACGGGUAGCCGGCCUGAGAGGGUGGACGGCCACAUUGGGACUGAGAUACGGCCCAGACUCCUACGGGAGGCAGCAGUGGGGAAUAUUGCACAAUGGGCGCAAGCCUGAUGCAGCGACGCCGCGGGGGGGAGGACGGCCUUCGGGUUGUAAACUCCUUUCGCUAGGGACGAAGCUUUUUGUGACGGUACCUAGAUAAGAAGCACCGGCUAACUACGUG
Molecule: ribosomal RNA, 464 nt
Filed under: uncultured bacterium
Lineage: Bacteria
Description: partial 16S ribosomal RNA
Rfam family: Bacterial small subunit ribosomal RNA
Source: RNAcentral